GUCUCAGUAAGACACAUUAUUUUAUUUAUUUAAAUAAUAGAAAAAUGACACACACACACACACAUAUAUAUAUAAAAUUAAACUGGAAUACUAUUAAUAGUAAAACUCUCUUUUUGCUAUCAAGUUUUUAACCCUUGGAUGAAAAAUUAUAGGGUUAGGAUUAUAUUAGUCAGUUAGAGUUGAAUGGUCCCCCUAGGGUUGAGUGGUUCCCACUGGGUUAUAGUAUUUAAUCCAAUGGUUAGAAAUGAUGAAAAGAGUUGAUC
RNAcentral lists this long non-coding RNA (263 nucleotides) under Ananas comosus (pineapple). RNAcentral describes it as "long non-coding RNA (ACOM_LNC036679)". The record is from RNAcentral. Lineage: Eukaryota; Viridiplantae; Streptophyta; Magnoliopsida; Poales; Bromeliaceae.